RNAcentral lists this ribosomal RNA (229 nucleotides) under uncultured bacterium. RNAcentral describes it as "partial 16S ribosomal RNA". It matches the Rfam family "Bacterial small subunit ribosomal RNA", at positions 15 to 235 of the family's 1533-position model. The record is from RNAcentral.
GAUCCUGGCUCAGGACGAACGCUGGCGGCGUGCUUAACACAUGCAAGUCGAGGGGCAGCAUGGUCUUAGCUUGCUAAGGCCGAUGGCGACCGGCGCACGGGUGAGUAACACGUAUCCAACCUGCCGUCUACUCUUGGACAGCCUUCUGAAAGGAAGAUUAAUACAAGAUGGCAUCAUGAGUUCACAUGUUCACAUGAUUAAAGGUAUUCCGGUAGACGAUGGGGAUGCG